This 66-nucleotide transfer RNA is filed under the name Rhinebothrium taeniuri. RNAcentral's name for it is "tRNA-Phe". Lineage: Eukaryota; Metazoa; Platyhelminthes; Cestoda; Rhinebothriidea; Rhinebothriidae. The record is from RNAcentral.
UUUCCUUUAGCUUAAGCGUAAAGCGUUAGUUUGAAGCACUGAAGUUAACUUUGUAGUUAGGGUGGU